This is a non-coding RNA of Heligmosomoides polygyrus, 75 nucleotides long. NCBI's taxonomy places the organism in Eukaryota, Metazoa, Nematoda, Chromadorea, Rhabditida, Heligmosomidae. The record is from Rfam.
GCGCCGGUGGUGUAAAGGCGUAGAGCAUUCCCGCCCGGUCAGAGGGAGGUGCGGGUUCGAGUCCCGCCUGGCUCU